UACGGGAGGCAGCAGUAGGGAAUUUUCGGCAAUGGGGGAAACCCUGACCGAGCAACGCCGCGUGAAUGACGAAGUACUUCGGUAUGUAAAGUUCUUUUAUUGGGGAAGAAUGGUACGUGGAAAAACGUACGUGACGGUACCUAAUGAAUAAGCCCCGGCUAACUAUGUGCCAGCAGCCGCGGUAAU
This 186-nucleotide ribosomal RNA is filed under the name uncultured Acholeplasma sp. Its description in RNAcentral is "partial 16S ribosomal RNA". It matches the Rfam family "Bacterial small subunit ribosomal RNA", at positions 340 to 524 of the family's 1533-position model. Lineage: Bacteria; Bacillati; Mycoplasmatota; Mollicutes; Acholeplasmatales; Acholeplasmataceae. The record is from RNAcentral.